RNAcentral lists this non-coding RNA (25 nucleotides) under Rattus norvegicus (Norway rat). Lineage: Eukaryota; Metazoa; Chordata; Mammalia; Rodentia; Muridae. The record is from RNAcentral.
UUAUGAAUGAAUGUUGCAAAAAAAA